AGCGAACGCUGGCGGCAGGCCUAACACAUGCAAGUCGAACGAACCCUUCGGGGUUAGUGGCGGACGGGUGAGUAACACGUGGGAACGUACCUUUAGGUUCGGAACAACACAGGGGAAACUUGUGCUAAUGCCGAAUGUGCCCUUCGGGGGAAAGAUUUAUCGCCUUUAGAGCGGCCCGCGUCUGAUUAGCUUGUUGGUGAGGUAAAAGGCUCACCAAGGCUACGAUCAGUAGCUGGUCUGAGAGGAUGAUCAGCCACACUGGGACUGAGACACGGCCCAGACUCCUACGGGAGGCAGCAGUGGGGAAUCUUGCGCAAUGGGCGAAAGCCUGACGCAGCCAUGCCGCGUGAAUGAUGAAGGUCUUAGGAUUGUAAAAUUCUUUCACCGGGGAAGAUAAUGACGGUACCCGGAGAAGAAGCCCCGGCUAACUUCGUGCCAGCAGCCGCGGUAA
Molecule: ribosomal RNA, 451 nt
Filed under: uncultured bacterium
Lineage: Bacteria
Description: bacterial SSU rRNA
Rfam family: Bacterial small subunit ribosomal RNA
Source: RNAcentral